RNAcentral lists this ribosomal RNA (405 nucleotides) under uncultured bacterium. RNAcentral describes it as "bacterial SSU rRNA". It matches the Rfam family "Bacterial small subunit ribosomal RNA", at positions 355 to 775 of the family's 1533-position model. The record is from RNAcentral.
UGAGGGAUAUUGCACAAUGGGCGAAAGCCUGAUGCAGCGACGCCGCGUGGGUGAUGAAGGUCUUCGGAUCGUAAAGCCCUUUUCUGCGUGACGAGACAAGGACGGUAGCGCAGGAAUAAGUCUCGGCUAACUACGUGCCAGCAGCCGCGGUAAAACGUAGGAGGCAAGCGUUAUCCGGAGUUACUGGGCGUAAAGCGUGGGUAGGUGGUUUUGCAAGUUUGGUGUGAAAGCGCCCGGCUUAACUGGGCGAGGACAUUGAAGACUGCAAGGCUAGAGGGUGGUAGAGGGGCGUAGAAUUCCGGGUGUAGCGGUGAAAUGUGUAGAGAUCCGGAGGAAUACCAGUGGUGCAGACGGCGCCCUGGGCCAUACCUGACACUGAGCCACGAAAGCGUGGGGAGCGAACGG